GACGAACGCUGGCGGCGUGCUUAACACAUGCAAGUCGAACGGAAAGGCCCUGCUUUUGUGGGGUGCUCGAGUGGCGAACGGGUGAGUAACACGUGAGUAACCUGCCCUUGACUUUGGGAUAACUUCAGGAAACUGGGGCUACUACCGGAUAGGAGCUCCUGCUGCAUGGUGGGGGUUGGAAAGUUUCGGCGGUUGGGGAUGGACUCGCGGCUUAUCAGCUUGUUGGUGGGGUAGUGGCUUACCAAGGCUUUGACGGGUAGCCGGCCUGAGAGGGUGACCGGCCACAUUGGGACUGAGAUACGGCCCAGACUCCUACGGGAGGCAGCAGUGGGGAAUAUUGCACAAUGGGCGGAAGCCUGAUGCAGCAACGCCGCGUGCGGGAUGACGGCCUUCGGGCUGUAAACCGCUUUCGCCUGUGACGAAGCGUGAGUGACGGUAAUGGGUAAAGAAGCACCGGCUAACUACGUG
Molecule: ribosomal RNA, 468 nt
Filed under: uncultured bacterium
Lineage: Bacteria
Description: partial 16S ribosomal RNA
Rfam family: Bacterial small subunit ribosomal RNA
Source: RNAcentral